This 117-nucleotide non-coding RNA is filed under the name Pan troglodytes (chimpanzee). Lineage: Eukaryota; Metazoa; Chordata; Mammalia; Primates; Hominidae. The record is from Rfam by way of RNAcentral.
GCCGGGUGUGGUGGCUCACGCCUGUAAUCCCAGCACUUUGGGAGGCUGAGGCAGGUGGAUUGCUAGAGGCCAGGAGUUUGAGACCAGCCUGGCCAACAUGGUGAAACCCUGUCUCUA